Sphaerodactylus townsendi is the source of this 2874-nucleotide RNA transcript. It is a transcript of the gene named testis expressed 43, with no coding region annotated. The record is from RefSeq and is a predicted model, not a curated record. Lineage: Eukaryota; Metazoa; Chordata; Lepidosauria; Squamata; Sphaerodactylidae. The transcript has 2 exons.
AAACGGCCUAAGUAAAGGAAAGAGUAUCACAUGGAACUGCCCUGUAUUAGAAAGCCCCUUACAUCCUAAACAGUUCUCUAUAAAGAGUUAAAAAUAUUCACAUUUGUUUUCUUUUUCAAUCAUAAGAAUAUCUGUUUUCUCUAGACUUGUGAACAGUGGGUUUUUAAUAUAUAUUGCAGAUCUUUGCAGAACUCUGAUCCCAUCAUGUGAUACUGGACCAGUACUAUCUGUAAAACACUUUUUCAAAAGUUUCAGUGAAUAAGACAAUCUGAUUUCUCACACCAUUUUAAGUCAUUUGCUGUUCAAGCCUGAAUUUUGUGCAAAUGCUGCAGUUUUUUUGCAACUAACAUGUGAUGAAGCACUACUAAAAAGAGCAGGACGUAAUUAGGUACAAAAUUGUACUCCUGUAGACCUGAUAAAAUUUUGGAUUAAACCUUAUUCAACCUGCACAAGUGCCCCUUUCUGUUGUUGAGGUUAUUCUCAUGCAGAACUUGUUCCUCAAGCAUUAGGUGCUUUUCCUUAGGCAACACCAUUGUCUCAUUGAGCUAAAAAUUGCCUCCUCCUAGAGGAACAUUCUCCACAGUUGAGGACCACCUCUGCAAUGGAUAAAAGAGGGUACAAGUUGAAACAGUGGUUAAGACCCAAGGCAUAGAUUCUUAGUAGUUUAUGAUUUAUCUUUUGACCUAUUUAAUAUUUUGGAUUGCUCCCUUGUAUCUAGAGAAAAAUUACAUUCUUCAACUGGAUAGCAGUGUAAAUUGUAUACAAGAACCACAGAAAGACAUAGUACAGACUUGGGUGAGAAAAAGAGCUCCAUCGGCUAAUCCUUCUAGGCUGAUCCUUUGGGCUUAUUUUCCUUCCUAAUUGGAUAAGGGGCUGUUAAGACUUAGGCUGUGAUCCACCAGUGGGUCUAACAGUCUGAUGUGCUGGUCAAUUAUGCUACAUAGUCUUAAAUCCAUGUACGUCACCUUAAUUUUUUGUCCAAGCAAUUUUUUGUCCAAGCAACAGCAAAUUAGUUUAAGCUAUUGUAAAUUCACUGAUGAUCUUGAAAUUUGUAUCUACCAGUUGCUGCUAUUUUUCUCUACUUUGAAUAGAAUACUAUCAAUGCAGUUUUAUUCAGAGUUACUCUAGUGUUAAGCCUAAUGAUUUCAGUAGGCUUAAUAAUAGAGUAAUUCUGCUUAGGACUGCACUGUGUUAUAUCUGUCUUAAUAUGCUAUUUUAUAUAGAACCUUGUUCACAUGCAGCCCUGAAUUACUAGUGUUUUCUUACCAAAACAUUGAACUAAAGACCUGUUCCAAAUGUGGAAAUAAUGGCUUAUCUUUCAUUGUAAUGAAAGAGAACUUUAUUAUAUUGUAGUUAGAUUACAGUUCUUUUAAUGUGAGUUGAAUGAUUUAGAAGAUAACUAUAGCAUAUUGUUAAAUUUGCUCAUUCUGUUACAACAAUCUUUGGAAGAUAGUUGUCAAUGAAAAACCAGGUAUUCUGGCGCUCUAGUCCUUAAAAUACUAAGACUGCACAUCUCAGCCACAGUACUUAUUUAAACAUUAUAGGUCUUACAUCUGAGUACAGAUGCAUAGAAACAGGUGUUUAGCCUGCUAUCUCUGGGAUGUCAGUAGAAUAUUAUAAUAAUAGUAAAAUGUUCUGCUGUGGUGAUCAGUAUACCACAUCUGAAACACACAUGUACUGGCAUUAAAUUAUUUUUUCCAAAUUAAGUCCAUUUUACUACCCCACCUAAUCUUCCCACGGUUUGUUGUUGCCUUGAAUUCUAAAAUUCACAUUAGCCAGUUGUGCUGAAUAACACUGUAGAUUGAUCUUCCCAUUUUUAUAAUAAUUCAAGUAAUGCUAAAAGAAUGAAACUGAAUAGUUUAAAUAACUAUCAACUGCUCUGCCUGAACCAUAACAGUAGCAUGCAGUAUUGUGACAUUGAUGGCACUGAAUAUAAUACCCUUUUUGAAAAGACCUCUUUGCAAAAGGAAGGUGCACAUAGCUGGUUUAAUUUUCAGUUGUAGAACACAAAAAUAAAGACUGUUGGUUUUGAAAACUUGGCUUUCACUGAAUUUCUCAAAAAAAUUUCCAGAAAUAUUCUCUUAUGGAUUCUUUUAAAAAACUGGGAAGUAAAAUGAAAAGAACACAUAGCUUGGAUUAUUGUGAUAAUUCAUUCUUACUGUAUUAUCAGUGGGUACAUGCUUCUCUGUACAAGAAAUCCUGCUGCUGCUGUUGCCCUGGCUGCAUUUUCCUGUACAACACAAAAGGUCUCUGUUCUCUUCCCACAGGACCUGGGUAGCUCAGUUAAUAGAGUAUCAAACGUGCACAAUGAAUCACCAUCAGAAAUUUUAUGUAUUUAUCAAUGAAUCACCAUCAGAAAUUUUAUGUAUUUAUCAAUGAAUCACCAUCAGAAAUUUUAUGUAUUUAUCCUGUCUUCUCUGGUUCGAGGCUGCUUACAAUAAUAUUGUGACAUUGAUGGCACUGAAUACAAUACCCUAAACAAAAAUCUUAAAUAUCUUUGGCAACUCCCCCCACCCCAAAAAAGCCCCCCUUCUUGCUACUUUACAGUCCCUUUAAAAGGGUAUGCUGAGAAUUUUUUAAAAAACUAUCCUUUGUAUCUGCAAGGGAACUGUGCUGCUUAUGAAUACUUGGAAGGCUUUACUGAAAAGAAGAUGACAGUUGAUACAGUAGAUUUGUUCACUGCCACUUGCCAAGAUUUUCAUACAGACAUGGGAUGAUUCCAAACCUCUAUGUGAUGCCCUGGAAACAAGAUAUGAAGUAUCGAAAGAUAAAGUUAAAGGUACAGGAACCAAGGAUACAAUUACAAUUUUAUGUAGUUUAAUUGGGAGGGGGUGUGGAGUACAUACAAAUCCCACUGCAAAUGACUGAGUUUAA